CUUUGAGAAAGUGGAAGCUGAGAGACAGACUGAGGGAGCAUGCUGCCUGCAGACAAAAAGUGAACAUUGCAGUAGGCCUAAUCAGGCUAAAUGACUCGCACCUGGGAGCCAGAGAGGGGAUUGACGGUUUUUAAAUAAAGAGGACAGAACAGCAGCAGGGGAGGACUUCAGACAGAGAUUCAGACAUCACACACAUGCAGGGAAGACACACAUGGGAGAGACGUAUAGAAGAUGGAGGAGACACACGAGGGAGGACGAGGAAAGCACAACAGACACGGAUGGAGAGACACAGGGAAAGAACCAUAGAGGAGGCCUGAGGCUACACCAAAGGAAACACAAACACCGAUCGCUAGCGGCAACAGUGGGAGAAGGUUAUGCCCCAGGAGAGGAGACAUACGAUAAAGAAGCUGGUUGCCAGCGGAGCCCUAUGGACCUUUUUAAUGCUGAGACUCCUGUUCUGUUGGACUGUUUUAGCUUGAUUUUAGUUAGUUGUGUUUUUAGUUUUUUAAAUCCUUUUUAAGGAGGAAUUUUAAUUAGUU
This is a long non-coding RNA of Perca flavescens (yellow perch), 539 nucleotides long. RefSeq lists it as uncharacterized. NCBI's taxonomy places the organism in Eukaryota, Metazoa, Chordata, Actinopteri, Perciformes, Percidae. The record is from RefSeq and is a predicted model, not a curated record. The transcript has 3 exons.